GCCCCUUCUUAGAUAAACUUCCUUUCCAAGAAAAUAGCAUGCCUACUAAUAAUUUUUUUUUGUUCAGUAGGCAUAUAAAAGUAGGAUCUAAUACUCUCCUAUGGAUCACCUACAAACCAAUAUUUUUUGGAUCUAGUACUUAACUUAUGUCCAAAAUUAUUUUUGACAUAAAUCGGAUAGUCUCAAAUCUUAAGAUGCUUAAGACUAGGCUUUCUACUCUUUCAUAAUUUAUAUGGAGUGCUAGAAAU
Molecule: long non-coding RNA, 248 nt
Filed under: Elaeis guineensis (African oil palm)
Lineage: Eukaryota; Viridiplantae; Streptophyta; Magnoliopsida; Arecales; Arecaceae
Description: long non-coding RNA (EGUI_LNC068340)
Source: RNAcentral